RNAcentral lists this unclassified non-coding RNA (362 nucleotides) under soil metagenome. RNAcentral's name for it is "partial contains 5.8S ribosomal RNA, internal transcribed spacer 2, and large subunit ribosomal RNA". The stretch from base 1 to 120 matches the Rfam family "5.8S ribosomal RNA", at positions 35 to 154 of the family's 154-position model. The record is from RNAcentral.
GAUGAAGAACGCAGCGAAAUGCGAUAAGUAAUGUGAAUUGCAGAAUUCAGUGAAUCAUCGAAUCUUUGAACGCACCUUGCGCUCCUUGGUAUUCCGAGGAGCAUGCCUGUUUGAGUGUCAUUAAUAUAUCAACCUUCUCUUUUUUGAGUUGUUUGGAUGUGGGGGUUUGCUGGCCUCUUAAAUGAUUCAGCUCCCCUGAAAUGCAUUAGCAGAACAACCUGUUCAUUAGCGUGAUAAUUAUCUAUGCUAUUGAAUGUGAGGGCAGUUCAGCUUUCUAACCGUCCUUGGACAAUUCAUCAUUAAUGUGACCUCAAAUCAGGUAGGACUACCCGCUGAACUUAAGCAUAUCAAUAAGCGGUGGA